Gasterosteus aculeatus aculeatus (three-spined stickleback) is the source of this 3359-nucleotide long non-coding RNA. The record is from Ensembl. NCBI's taxonomy places the organism in Eukaryota, Metazoa, Chordata, Actinopteri, Perciformes, Gasterosteidae.
AGCGGGUUCACGCCGGAAGGCGAGAAGAACGGAAGGGGAGUGAUUUCGCUGCUUUUCGCUGAAAGGGGACGAUUCACUCCCGAGGGAGUGCGAAGUGAGGAGGUGAAUCUGAGGUGAAGGGGAGACGAUAAUGAUAGUGCUGAUGUCGGUGCGUCGGGAACCAAUCUGGUGCCAAGCUCCGCCUCUUCCGCGACGACCAAUCGCGUCGAGGGAACGGCCGGCGUGGACACGCCUCCCCCCGGCGCAUUUCGACAGAAUGGAAAACUGUUUCCGGUUGCUUUCGUCGUGUUGGUUGGGGGAAACCAACAGGGACGUGUGCCAAAUGACAUUCUUAAACAUCAAUUUGCUGCUCUCAUUCCUUGAGUGAAAGCCAAUCAGAGAAGGGUACAAACGGAUGGAGAUUUGUGUUUUUAUUUUAUUUUUUCAAGAGUACAUUUCUAAUGAUUAAGGUGGAUAUUUAGUUUAUGGAUGAAAAAAAUGAAUAUAAUAUUGUAUCUGCUCAAAAAGUGCCUCAUUUUCAGAUUGUAGCCAUUUUACAAAGAACUUCAAAACGGAAGUUUUUAUGUUUUUUUCGUGCUUGAUUUAAUGUAAAAAAAUGCAGCAGUAGAUAAAGAUAAAAGGGUGUGAGCUUCUGCUGCGUGCGUCGUCACAACGGAUGAUUCUGAUACCUGCAACCCGCGGGGAUCAGUUGAAAAUGACUGCAUGUUGAAUAUAACGCAACAUCCGUCAAAUGUACUUGUGCGUUGUCGCGUCUAACUUUCAGAAGUUGGAAACUGGAAAACACAAUAAAUCCGAUGCGACGUGAAUGGGGCAUUUUGCUAACGUUAACAAUGAUAAUGGUACUAGCCGAUCUGCUGGCCUUCCUGCCUACUGUGAGAAACGUUAGCAUAGCCUGUGUUAACAUUCGGCUCCCAUUCGGUCGUUUUAUCUUCCCGUUGACUUUUUUUUAACAAAGCCAUACACCUAGAAUAUUAAACACAGGCGUGAAGCGAAGGGGAAUACGGUAGCUCGCCAGUUAGCUUAAGCCACCCAGGUCAGAUUAGCCUAUUAGCAGGUUGCCAGGACAUAAAUUCGGCAUCCUGCUGAGUCACAGCUCGGGUUGAGACCCCUGACACGGAGCCACGGUAUCCCAUUAGCGCUAUUAGCUCCAGACACUUGUGUACGACUUAGUCCACUUUGUCUCAGGAGGGUAAAUGACCUUAGGUACUUACAGCGGAGGAUAGGGACCCUAUCAAUAGCCAUGCUGAUGCUACCCUCUUAGCACGGGGGAAAAGGAGGUCGCCUUAUAUCUCAAUUCAAUGCUACGUAAUGACAAAAUGGAUCCGCUAAGUUGUUCUCAGUUAUUUUGUACAUUAAGGUACUAAAGUUGAAGAUUAUACACUUUUUAUAAGUUAUAAUUUUGAAACGGGUUGGACUCAAGGUGCUUUGACCGUAAAUCCGUCUUAAAAGGCUCCGUUUCCAUCUUCGUCCCUCCAUUCAGUUCUUUUGCUCAGCUCUCACUUCAAUCUCCGCUAUGCAUCAGCACUAAAGUGCCUGUCUCUCCCUUCCCCUGCUUAGCAGCUAGUACCAAUAGCGCUGUCCUAGCACAAUAUAUGAUCAAGUCUAUUUUCGUGUCUCUUUUUGUCUCUUUCGGCUGCGCAGUUGUCAAGAAAUAUCGUGUUCACGUGACAGUGAUCCCUCAGGCGGCUUGACCGAAAGCCACGGCCCUAAUCGGGGGAGAUUUGGACCGUUUCGCUCUGCCGCUAAAGGAGGACUUAAUUGUCGCAGGGCCGUCGGUGCCAAAACCCAACAACAACAACAACAACAGGCUCCGACAGCACCUCAAGAAGCCACCUUCAGCUCGCAGAACUGGACGUAUUGCUUUGUUUUGUUUUUAAAAGUGUAACUUUUUGUGACGUAUCUGCCCUCCCGGUGUGCUCUUGCGAGGCUCGGGGAUAACGUUCAUCGCGAGGCCUCGCGCACGCGCUCUGGCCUUGACUUUCCCAACCGGAGGAAGAAAAAUGUAAAUAAAAAAAUAAUAAUAAUCCAUGUGCAUCAGUGUAGCUCCACGUUUCACUCGUGUGUUUGUCUGCGCCUCUCGGGAAGUUCAUGAACUCGCUCACUCUGGUCACGUGACUGGGGAGAACACAACAAUGCAGCUUUAUCAUGAGCAGAUUGGGAUCCGUGGUUGGAUUUGGCCCUAAUAGCGGUUACUAAUGCAGAAGUGGGGGCGCCGGGGGGAGCAAUUGGACUUCAAAUCAGAUUCAGCAUAUAAAUCACAGACUUUCAUGGGGACUCGCAGGCAAACACAUGAUACUUGAUUUAUUUAUAAUGUCUUCUGGAGAUGUUCUCGUGCUGAAACUCAGCAGUGUUUACGGCCAAGUGCUCGAGGGUUCUUUGUGUUAAAAAAAAAAAAGAAAAGUGUAAAAUCAGGCUUUCGGUCCUGCAAAGUGGACGUCAUCAUCCUGCCAUUUAGAGCCCACAUUGAGUUCUGAGCAACAUUUGAAUGAAGUUUUUAUUUUUUUUCCCACAUAUCACAGACUAAGAGCUCAGACACACGCGGUUCAAUAGUUUUGGAGGCUGCAUGAUUUUAUUCCGAGCAUCGGUUUGCGAGAUGUUCACAAAAUGUGCAGGAAAGCGCUGCUGUUGCUCUACAUUGUUUUUUUCUCUUCCUCCUGUUCCCCGCAGGGAUGGUAUUUAAUGGGAAUGUUGUGAGAUUUGCCAUUGAUGUAGAGAGUUUUACUUCUGUUGCUUUAGGAGAAAAAAAGUAAAAGGACUUGUGGUUUCUUUGGUGUCUGCCUUGCGUUUAUAGCAGGUUGAUGGUUUAAGACAUAAAAUUCAUCAGUUCUACAGAUACAAGCAUGGGGGGGGGUCAUAUUUACCUGCUGAGGCAAGUGUUAACAUUGCAUUAAAUGCCACAGACGCGGGUGGGCUCACACACACACACACACACACACACACACACACACACCGGCAGAUGUCACCCUGUAAUGUGGAAAAAGAAAACAGCCUGAUUGUUAUCCACGCAGUCACAUUCACCACUCCCAUUGAUAAGAUCUCUUGCUCUCCAAGUUAGCGGGUAGCCGGCGGCGGCGGGGGGGGUAAUAACUUGUCUUACUGGUCAUUUGACCAAUGUGGUGUUUGCUCUUUCGCUCUUAUCUCAUUUGACAUCUCUCGCUCCGCGCCCGGCUUAAGUGCAUAUGCUUUUUUUUUAAAUUAAAUUUUCAGGCAGGUAGAUCUGCGCUGUCUUUCUCUUCUUGCUAACGCACAUGAGGCCCUGCAUCCUCCUCGUCCACAGAUGGCCAAGUAACUCGACCCAGACAGAGGCACUGUGGGAAUUAAAAGAAAUGAGAACACAAACACGCAUGCACCCGCCAACA